UACGGAGGGUCCAAGCGUUAUCCGGAUUUAUUAGGUUUAAAGGGUCCGUAGGCGGAUUUUUAAGUCAGUGGUGAAAGCCGGCAGCUCAACUGUCGAACUGCCAUUGAUACUGGAAAUCUUGAGUACAAAUGAAGUAGGCGGAAUGAGUCAUGUAGCGGUGAAAUGCAUAGAUAUGACUCAGAACACCGAUUGCGAAGGCAGCUUACUAACAUGUAACUGACGCUGAGGGACGAAAGCGUGGGGAGCGAACAGG
This 253-nucleotide ribosomal RNA is filed under the name uncultured bacterium. RNAcentral's name for it is "partial 16S ribosomal RNA". It matches the Rfam family "Bacterial small subunit ribosomal RNA", at positions 524 to 776 of the family's 1533-position model. The record is from RNAcentral.